Dioscorea cayenensis subsp. rotundata (Guinea yam) is the source of this 106-nucleotide small nucleolar RNA. Lineage: Eukaryota; Viridiplantae; Streptophyta; Magnoliopsida; Dioscoreales; Dioscoreaceae. The record is from RefSeq and is a predicted model, not a curated record.
AAAUCAUGAUGGGGCAAUUUCUAAGGAGAUCCUUGAAUCUCUCAUAGGCUUCAAAUAAUGUUUCGGAUUCCCUUAUUUCAAAGGCUAAAAUUUCUUGUCUUAAUUU